This 263-nucleotide ribosomal RNA is filed under the name uncultured bacterium. Its description in RNAcentral is "partial 16S ribosomal RNA". It matches the Rfam family "Bacterial small subunit ribosomal RNA", at positions 92 to 354 of the family's 1533-position model. The record is from RNAcentral.
UUAGUGGCGGACGGGUGAGGUAACGCGUGGAUAACCUGCCGUAUACCGGGGGAUAACACUUAGAAAUAGGUGCUAAUACCGCAUAAGCGCACGGCUCCGCAUGGGGCAGUGUGAAAAACUCCGGUGGUAUACGAUGGAUCCGCGUCUGAUUAGCUAGUUGGCGGGGUAACGGCCCACCAAGGCAGCGAUCAGUAGCCGGCCUGAGAGGGUGGACGGCCACAUUGGGACUGAGACACGGCCCAAACUCCUACGGAAGGCAGCAG